RNAcentral lists this transfer RNA (75 nucleotides) under Agathobacter rectalis. Its description in RNAcentral is "tRNA-Pro". It matches the Rfam family "tRNA". From Rfam's summary of the family: Transfer RNA (tRNA) molecules are approximately 80 nucleotides in length. Their secondary structure includes four short double-helical elements and three loops (D, anti-codon, and T loops). Further hydrogen bonds mediate the characteristic L-shaped molecular structure. tRNAs have two regions of fundamental functional importance: the anti-codon, which is responsible for specific mRNA codon recognition, and the 3' end, to which the tRNAs corresponding amino acid is attached (by aminoacyl-tRNA synthetases). tRNAs cope with the degeneracy of the genetic code in two manners: having more than one tRNA (with a specific anti-codon) for a particular amino acid; and 'wobble' base-pairing, i.e. permitting non-standard base-pairing at the 3rd anti-codon position. Lineage: Bacteria; Bacillati; Bacillota; Clostridia; Lachnospirales; Lachnospiraceae. The record is from RNAcentral.
CGGGGUGUGGCUCAGCUUGGCUAGAGCGCCUGGUUUGGGACCAAGAGGUCGCAGGUUCGAAUCCUGUCACCCCGA